Molecule: ribosomal RNA, 2906 nt
Filed under: Escherichia coli
Lineage: Bacteria; Pseudomonadati; Pseudomonadota; Gammaproteobacteria; Enterobacterales; Enterobacteriaceae
Also listed under: 1 other name
Description: 23S ribosomal RNA
Rfam family: Bacterial large subunit ribosomal RNA
Source: RNAcentral
GGUUAAGCGACUAAGCGUACACGGUGGAUGCCCUGGCAGUCAGAGGCGAUGAAGGACGUGCUAAUCUGCGAUAAGCGUCGGUAAGGUGAUAUGAACCGUUAUAACCGGCGAUUUCCGAAUGGGGAAACCCAGUGUGUUUCGACACACUAUCAUUAACUGAAUCCAUAGGUUAAUGAGGCGAACCGGGGGAACUGAAACAUCUAAGUACCCCGAGGAAAAGAAAUCAACCGAGAUUCCCCCAGUAGCGGCGAGCGAACGGGGAGCAGCCCAGAGCCUGAAUCAGUGUGUGUGUUAGUGGAAGCGUCUGGAAAGGCGCGCGAUACAGGGUGACAGCCCCGUACACAAAAAUGCACAUGCUGUGAGCUCGAUGAGUAGGGCGGGACACGUGGUAUCCUGUCUGAAUAUGGGGGGACCAUCCUCCAAGGCUAAAUACUCCUGACUGACCGAUAGUGAACCAGUACCGUGAGGGAAAGGCGAAAAGAACCCCGGCGAGGGGAGUGAAAAAGAACCUGAAACCGUGUACGUACAAGCAGUGGGAGCACGCUUAGGCGUGUGACUGCGUACCUUUUGUAUAAUGGGUCAGCGACUUAUAUUCUGUAGCAAGGUUAACCGAAUAGGGGAGCCGAAGGGAAACCGAGUCUUAACUGGGCGUUAAGUUGCAGGGUAUAGACCCGAAACCCGGUGAUCUAGCCAUGGGCAGGUUGAAGGUUGGGUAACACUAACUGGAGGACCGAACCGACUAAUGUUGAAAAAUUAGCGGAUGACUUGUGGCUGGGGGUGAAAGGCCAAUCAAACCGGGAGAUAGCUGGUUCUCCCCGAAAGCUAUUUAGGUAGCGCCUCGUGAAUUCAUCUCCGGGGGUAGAGCACUGUUUCGGCAAGGGGGUCAUCCCGACUUACCAACCCGAUGCAAACUGCGAAUACCGGAGAAUGUUAUCACGGGAGACACACGGCGGGUGCUAACGUCCGUCGUGAAGAGGGAAACAACCCAGACCGCCAGCUAAGGUCCCAAAGUCAUGGUUAAGUGGGAAACGAUGUGGGAAGGCCCAGACAGCCAGGAUGUUGGCUUAGAAGCAGCCAUCAUUUAAAGAAAGCGUAAUAGCUCACUGGUCGAGUCGGCCUGCGCGGAAGAUGUAACGGGGCUAAACCAUGCACCGAAGCUGCGGCAGCGACGCUUAUGCGUUGUUGGGUAGGGGAGCGUUCUGUAAGCCUGCGAAGGUGUGCUGUGAGGCAUGCUGGAGGUAUCAGAAGUGCGAAUGCUGACAUAAGUAACGAUAAAGCGGGUGAAAAGCCCGCUCGCCGGAAGACCAAGGGUUCCUGUCCAACGUUAAUCGGGGCAGGGUGAGUCGACCCCUAAGGCGAGGCCGAAAGGCGUAGUCGAUGGGAAACAGGUUAAUAUUCCUGUACUUGGUGUUACUGCGAAGGGGGGACGGAGAAGGCUAUGUUGGCCGGGCGACGGUUGUCCCGGUUUAAGCGUGUAGGCUGGUUUUCCAGGCAAAUCCGGAAAAUCAAGGCUGAGGCGUGAUGACGAGGCACUACGGUGCUGAAGCAACAAAUGCCCUGCUUCCAGGAAAAGCCUCUAAGCAUCAGGUAACAUCAAAUCGUACCCCAAACCGACACAGGUGGUCAGGUAGAGAAUACCAAGGCGCUUGAGAGAACUCGGGUGAAGGAACUAGGCAAAAUGGUGCCGUAACUUCGGGAGAAGGCACGCUGAUAUGUAGGUGAAGUCCCUCGCGGAUGGAGCUGAAAUCAGUCGAAGAUACCAGCUGGCUGCAACUGUUUAUUAAAAACACAGCACUGUGCAAACACGAAAGUGGACGUAUACGGUGUGACGCCUGCCCGGUGCCGGAAGGUUAAUUGAUGGGGUUAGCCGCAAGGCGAAGCUCUUGAUCGAAGCCCCGGUAAACGGCGGCCGUAACUAUAACGGUCCUAAGGUAGCGAAAUUCCUUGUCGGGUAAGUUCCGACCUGCACGAAUGGCGUAAUGAUGGCCAGGCUGUCUCCACCCGAGACUCAGUGAAAUUGAACUCGCUGUGAAGAUGCAGUGUACCCGCGGCAAGACGGAAAGACCCCGUGAACCUUUACUAUAGCUUGACACUGAACAUUGAGCCUUGAUGUGUAGGAUAGGUGGGAGGCUUUGAAGUGUGGACGCCAGUCUGCAUGGAGCCGACCUUGAAAUACCACCCUUUAAUGUUUGAUGUUCUAACGUUGACCCGUAAUCCGGGUUGCGGACAGUGUCUGGUGGGUAGUUUGACUGGGGCGGUCUCCUCCUAAAGAGUAACGGAGGAGCACGAAGGUUGGCUAAUCCUGGUCGGACAUCAGGAGGUUAGUGCAAUGGCAUAAGCCAGCUUGACUGCGAGCGUGACGGCGCGAGCAGGUGCGAAAGCAGGUCAUAGUGAUCCGGUGGUUCUGAAUGGAAGGGCCAUCGCUCAACGGAUAAAAGGUACUCCGGGGAUAACAGGCUGAUACCGCCCAAGAGUUCAUAUCGACGGCGGUGUUUGGCACCUCGAUGUCGGCUCAUCACAUCCUGGGGCUGAAGUAGGUCCCAAGGGUAUGGCUGUUCGCCAUUUAAAGUGGUACGCGAGCUGGGUUUAGAACGUCGUGAGACAGUUCGGUCCCUAUCUGCCGUGGGCGCUGGAGAACUGAGGGGGGCUGCUCCUAGUACGAGAGGACCGGAGUGGACGCAUCACUGGUGUUCGGGUUGUCAUGCCAAUGGCACUGCCCGGUAGCUAAAUGCGGAAGAGAUAAGUGCUGAAAGCAUCUAAGCACGAAACUUGCCCCGAGAUGAGUUCUCCCUGACUCCUUGAGAGUCCUGAAGGAACGUUGAAGACGACGACGUUGAUAGGCCGGGUGUGUAAGCGCAGCGAUGCGUUGAGCUAACCGGUACUAAUGAACCGUGAGGCUUAACCUU